AGUCGACGAUGAAUCUUCUAGCUUGCUAGAAGUGGAUUAGUGGCGCACGGGUGAGUAAUGCAUAGGUUAUGUGCCCUUUAGUCUGGGAUAGCCACUGGAAACGGUGAUUAAUACUGGAUACUCCCUACGGGGGAAAGUUUUUCGCUAAAGGAUCAGCCUAUGUCCUAUCAGCUUGUUGGUGAGGUAAUGGCUCACCAAGGCUAUGACGGGUAUCCGGCCCGAGAGGGUGAUCGGACACACUGGAACUGAGACACGGUCCAGACUCCUACGGGAGGCAGCAGUAGGGAAUAUUGCUCAAUGGGGGAAACCCUGAAGCAGCAACGCCGCGUGGAGGAUGAAGGUUUUAGGAUUGUAAACUCCUUUUGUUAGAGAAGAUUAUGACGGUAUCUAACGAAUAAGCACCGGCUAACUCCGUGCCAGCAGCCGCGGUAAUACGGAGGGUGCAAGCGUUACUCGGAAUCACUGGGCGUAAAGAGUGCGUAGGCGGGGUAAUAAGUCAGAUGUGAAAUCCUGUAGCUUAACUACAGAACUGCAUUUGAAACUGUUACUCUGGAGUGUGGGAGAGGUAGGUGGAAUUCUUGGUGUAGGGGUAAAAUCCGUAGAGAUCAAGAGGAAUACUCAUUGCGAAGGCGACCUGCUGGAACAUUACUGACGCUGAUGCACGAAAGCGUGGGGAGCAAACAGGAUUAGAUACCCUGGUAGUCCACGCCCUAAACGAUGGAUGCUAGUUGUUGCCUUGCUUGUCAGGGCAGUAAUGCAGCUAACGCAUUAAGCAUCCCGCCUGGGGAGUACGGUCGCAAGAUUAAAACUCGAAGGAAUAGACGGGGACCCGCACAAGCGGUGGAGCAUGUGGUUUAAUUCGAAGAUACGCGAAGAACCUUACCUAGGCUUGAC
RNAcentral lists this ribosomal RNA (894 nucleotides) under uncultured bacterium. RNAcentral describes it as "bacterial SSU rRNA". It matches the Rfam family "Bacterial small subunit ribosomal RNA", at positions 60 to 985 of the family's 1533-position model. The record is from RNAcentral.